This is a non-coding RNA of Jatropha curcas, 571 nucleotides long. Lineage: Eukaryota; Viridiplantae; Streptophyta; Magnoliopsida; Malpighiales; Euphorbiaceae. The record is from RefSeq and is a predicted model, not a curated record.
UUAUUUUACCCCAUAGCCAUUUGCCAGUUAUAUUAAUUUUAACUGACCGUCCCUGUUUCGGAGGGCUACAAGCACGACAACACAGUGAAUCCUCCGAUCCCGAUGUGUUUGGUUCUCGAGAAUCCUCCAAUUUUAGGUAUUUGAGAACUUGGCUGAGGACCUGGAACUGGAUUUUGAGGACUUGUAUGAGCAACUGGAACUGGAUUUUGAGGAUUUGUUUGAGAAACUGAAUCCAAUUCAGUUUCUCCACUUUGAUUGGAUGUCUGGGUUGCGGCACUCAUUGGGAUUAAUCCAGGUUUUUCCUUGUUUGCUUACUAGUUUUCAAUUUGUUCAUAUUUUUCUGUGUAUAAUUGCAGGCUUAUAUAGAAAAAGGAGUUGAAGAAAUGGAGCUUCCAUGAAAAUUGAAUUCAGAAACAAGUCAUUUUUUUAACUGCCAUUUCUAUGAUCAUGAUCAUGUGCAAUCAAUGUAAUUAGAUCUGCAAUCAAUAUUUAGUGUAAGUGGACUAAGACUAUAAAUUAAUCACAGGUGUUAAUUUUAUUAUUAAAAGUGGACUUGGAAGUUCUUACUUUA